UACGUAGGGCGCAAGCGUUUGUCCGGAAUUAUUGGGCGUAAAGAGCUCGUAGGCGGUUUGUCGCGUCUGCUGUGAAAACCUAAGGCUCAACCUUGGGCUUGCAGUGGGUACGGGCAGACUAGAGUGCGGUAGGGUGACUGGAAUUCCUGGUGUAGCGGUGGAAUGCGCAGAUAUCAGGAGGAACACCGAUGGCGAAGGCAGGUCACUGGGGCGCAACUGACGCUGAGGAGCGAAAGCAUGGGGAGCGAACAGG
RNAcentral lists this ribosomal RNA (253 nucleotides) under uncultured bacterium. RNAcentral's name for it is "partial 16S ribosomal RNA". It matches the Rfam family "Bacterial small subunit ribosomal RNA", at positions 524 to 776 of the family's 1533-position model. The record is from RNAcentral.